This 1323-nucleotide ribosomal RNA is filed under the name Triticum aestivum (bread wheat). RNAcentral's name for it is "partial small subunit ribosomal RNA". Lineage: Eukaryota; Viridiplantae; Streptophyta; Magnoliopsida; Poales; Poaceae. The record is from RNAcentral.
AUGUUGCUCCAGGAGGGCGCCACCGCCGAAGCCGCUGCGCUAGCUGAGGCCGAAGGAUUUGGGCCAACAGAUGGUGCAUCAACUGGCAGUCUGUUCCCCCCAGAUAUUACAUUUUACGUGGAUGGAAAACCUAUUGAAGCUCAUCGGAUCAUCCUUUGUGCUCGAUCGCCCUUCUUUGAACAUAAAUUCGAGACAGACUGGAAAAACAGGAAGGAAGUGAGAUUUUCUAAUAAAAAAUUAUCAUUUGGUGCCUUGUACAACCUUAUCCAUUUCUUCUAUGCCGAUAGACUCGAGGCUCCAGUAGAUGAAAUGGAAAGUUUGUCACGCACUUGCAAAGUUUGCAAGUGUGAGGAGUUGCGUAAGUUAGUUGAUAAAGAAAUUCUGCAUCUUAGGUUUGCACUGUAUAAGUCAACAAGUAAGUUGGGUUUGGAAAAUUCACAGAGUCCGAGACGGUUCAUUUUACUCGGGCAGUCAUUGCCACGAGAAGAUCGUCUUCCAUCGGCAUUGCGGCGUGUUCUUCAGAAAUGUCUAGCUAAUUCAAGAGAAGAAGAGUUCAAAAAAACUCUAGCAAAUGAGAUCUGCAGAAACUGGAAGGAUGAUGAUCUUGCUGAUCUCACUGUAAAAGUAGAUGAUACAGUCUUUCGUUGCCAUCAGGUGAUUUUGGCCUCAAGGUCAGAGUAUUUUAAAACCAGACUAUCUCGAACAGUGGAUUUUCUUGAAGGUAACAAUCGAGUGCAUGCAUCUCUGGGUCUCCCAUUUCUUGAGGAGCAUGACCUGAGUACGGAAGCAUUUGAAAAGAUGCUUGAAUACAUGUAUACUGACAAUCUGGAGCAUAUGCAUCCAACCCAGGCUGAAGAACUAUUUGAUGUCGCAUCGAGAUACCUGCUGUUUCCCCUUAGGCGUGCUGUAGCUGAUUUACUGUUACCAAAUCUGGAACAUGUUUCACCUGCAGAGCUGUGCCAUUGGUUGAUCUUGUCAGACAUUUAUGGCGUUAUGAAAAUAAGGGAGUACUGCCUGGAUAUCAUUGCCUACAAUUUCGAGAUGUUUGCGGACAUAAGAGAGUUCAGGGCUUUGCUCUUGACACUCCCACCGCCAUCUGCAAAUGACGCACUACGAACGACUCGUCCCAGCCAGCCCGGGGCUGCAGGGCACACUGACCAAGGCAAUAUUCUCGAUGACUUGCGUGAGAAAUGGUUGGAAGCGGAGGCUGCUGAGCUAGACGAGAGAGAUCAGAGCGCAGCGCUGUUUGACCAGCGACUGGAGAUGCUCAUGCUUGUUGCGGAGCGGGAAGCCUGUGAUGAUGACAAUGCUGCCCUCCACUGA